This 1116-nucleotide long non-coding RNA is filed under the name Hordeum vulgare. RNAcentral describes it as "long non-coding RNA (HVUL_LNC017821)". The record is from RNAcentral. Lineage: Eukaryota; Viridiplantae; Streptophyta; Magnoliopsida; Poales; Poaceae.
CCCACGAGAAUAAACUAUUAGACAUGUCCAUGUCACAACAUCAUUAGGACACCACCAUCAAAUGCAAAAUCUGUCCUUCACUAUAGCAACUCUUUUUUUAAUUUGACACUACUUUGUUAUUGGUUUUAUUUUAGUUUAGUGGUAGCGUUUUCUUUGUUUAGAGUUUAAAUCAAACACAUUUUAGGCUCUUUAGAUGGUAUACACUUUUUGAGGGUCUGCCUUAAACCCAGUCUAUUAGUUCUAUAUGUUAUCAUUCAUCUCACAAGGCCCUAAUGUCAACGUCGUCAUCCCAUAGCGUCCCGACACUCUUCUUCAUUAUCUUUCCAUCGGCACGACGAUUAAAACAUGCUUCCCUUGAUAACAUUGCUUUGUCUUCAUACUAUUACACCCCAAGAUGGCAUACAAGUCCAGCGGAAGUAAUAGGAUAGAUGUAUUCCAUUUGUGGGUCAUCCGACGGGCAAAUGAUGGAAGUGGAACAGAUUAUGUGCUCCAAUUGUGCGAUGGUUGGUCAUCCCUUUUCACCUUUUAAUACUAAUUUUUUUUAUUUCAUCAUAAAUUAACUUGUCACUAAUACAUUUUGUAUUCGUAUACCCUCCAACAUACUGUUUUAAAUAUUUUCAAUUAUAACAAAAGAAAUAACAUUGCAGUCUAGCACAUAAUCCCCCCAUUCCAUAAUGUAGUGCGUAUGGUUUUUCCUUAUAGUCAAUCAUAACGAAGUUUCACCAAUUUAUUGAGAAAAAUAUCAACAAUUAUAAUACAAAACAAAUAAAAUAUGACAAUAUAUCUUGUGUUUUAUAUAGUGAUAUUAAUUUCAUAAAGUAUAUGCAGAUACUUUUCUUUAUAAACUUGAUCAAAGUUGAUGUAGUUUGACUUCCUUCAAAUAUACACACACUACAUUAUUGAACUAGGGGAGUAUAUAUUAAGGUUAAUAUUCAUAUAAUUGAGUUAACAUUUUUUAUCUUCUUAGUUAAGUUUGCCAUAUGGAAAAAAUUGGCUGCCAAAUUUAUAUCUAAGAAAAUCGGAAUAAUCAAGUUGCCCUCAUUGGCUAAUGCACUUAUAUGUGUGAUCUGUCCACAGUGUUCUUAUAAUCUACACAAGAUUUUUCUAAAAUCAAAU